This is a long non-coding RNA of Pecten maximus, 2493 nucleotides long. RefSeq lists it as uncharacterized. NCBI's taxonomy places the organism in Eukaryota, Metazoa, Mollusca, Bivalvia, Pectinida, Pectinidae. The record is from RefSeq and is a predicted model, not a curated record. The transcript has 2 exons.
AUAACCGGUUUCUAUAUAUUUCGUCGCCAAUGAUAAUGUCUCCAUCUAUACCGAAAUGUAUUUUUUUGUACUUUACUGCUCCAUAAUAUAAAAACGGCAGUGUUUCCUGUAGGUUUCCCUUCCUACAUUGAUCCGUGCCAUAGAGAAACAAUUUAUCGGGGAUUAAUUCAUUGAGCAUUUGUCGCACUUUGUUCCCUGAGCUAUCAGGCUGUCUGAAUCAAUUGGCGACACAUACCAAGCACUGCUGAUCACCCGACAUAUAUUAAAGAUCACAUCACUUCGCCUCCCUUCUUGUUUUCGGGAAGAACCAAUUUACUACAUUUCCAUCUUCUAAUGGCACUUGGAAUCGUAUGGUGAAUCACAGCGUUACACUGGAGACGUUACCGCCGGUCGCUGUAUGUAUUGAUAACUCUAUUCCAAGGAGUCGGGAUCGAGCGCUUUCCGCAUAACUCCGCCAAACUCCACACCUCUACCUGCGCCGAACAGUAAACCAAUGUCGGGCGGAGGGACAUGUCGUGUCGGGAGAACGAACCACAACACGUGUUAGUUGUGUUUUAAUUUGCUACAAUUUAGAUUUAUUCGAUUGUUUGGAAUAUUAUGUGAGUAUUUGAGUUUAAGAUGGUGUAGUAUUGCCGGAGUUAAAAUGUAGCGUGUACUUUGUUCAGUGAUAGUUUUGUGAGGAGUCAUGGCUUAACGAACGUUAAAGUGAACACUGUUUUGUAAUUCUAUAACAAAAACAACAACUGAUACACGUACAUAUCUACAUACAUAUUUAAUUCAAGUGAACAUUUAUCAUACAAACAAGUCGCCAUACCUUGUUAUCAUGGUGUCUAUAGAAACGACUUUUAUUUGGUCAAACUGACUUUCCCUGUAUUUCGGAACAUGCAUGGAUGGCUAUUAAAGGGAAUUGACCAUCCCGUAUCCCGACAUCUGUCGUGUGUGCCAGUUUAAUGGAUUUAGGAAUGACCCCGUUAAUUAUUGUGCCAUUGGUUUUCCUCGUCUACUUCCCACUCUUCUUUACCAUCUUCCUCUGCUUUUAUCUACACUCCCGGCGAAACAAAUACGACAUGGAACCCGACGUCACAUAACAACUUUACCAAGGACAAUGACGUCAGAAAAACAGGAGCAACCAUACCAGGAAACGUUUAACUUUAGAAUGGAUUUCGCCAUCUGAGAUAUACAACAUUACAACAAACUGCAGUGCCUCCUAACUCCUGAUUUGGAUUUUAAACAACAACCACUCCACAAUCAACCCCUCCACAAGAAAAAGCAAGGAUAGCAAUGAUUAUCGACUAAGAUCAGCUCAUGGAUAACAUUUCUUCUAAACAGAGAAACUAUGGAUGGAACAGAUCUUGUUAAACAAGUGUUACUUGGAUUUGAUAACUAAUUAGUUUCAUAUAGAAUGGAUUGACAUUCGGACCUGUUUGUCGAUAUUCGUCACUAUUACAAAGAAGUUAGUGUGAUAUUUACUAUUAAACGAUGAUGCAGCAUUAUUUAAUGCAGCGUUCAAUGAAUCACUUAUCGGAGAAAAUAAUAAGAAAACGCAGCGAACAUAUGGUUACACAUAUCAAGCUUAACCUUGACAAAGCUUGUGAAACAUCACACUGUCAAUUUGACUGCUAACUUGUUCACUGUCUUGGAAGGUUAAUCAACUCAUAAACACCCCAACUGUGAUGCUGAACUAUUAUCCAACAUGGAUUAACACUGAUGUGCUUAUUUAACGCUUACAUACAUAAACGAAUCAUGUGACAACAAAGUAAUAGGAAUAUCAUAUACCCCAACAGAUUCAAAAAUAGUUCAAAUGUCAUUGAUUAAUUUCUUGAUCACAAAAAAAUGAAAAAUGACAUAUAAAAAUGGAUCAAUUAGCAUUUAAAUUCAAAUUUUAAUUCAAGUUUUAUUUGUGGUAUGUUGUCUAUUUAGUUUGUUUAUACAUGCACACGUGACAAUUUAAUCAUCAAUUACUGGCUGAAUUUACCUGUACUUUGUAGGAUGCUUUAAAUAGAUUUCAGAGUGGUCUUUGGUAUAACCUGAGUAGCUGCUAUACCCCUUUGGCGAGCGAUGCAUCUUAAGUACAAUAUUGCUACGCUAUUUUGUAUGUCGCGGUGCUGUUCAUCUUUAGUGAGGUACGUCAACUUAUAUACUUAUUGGUUCAUGCUGGUAACAUGAUGAAUUGCUGAGACACUCUUGAAAUGUAUAUUAAGAUUUUAUGCUUCAAUCAAUCAUGUAAUCACUCUAAGCUGAUAUUAAUAAUGUAUUAUUUAUAUAUUGUAUCAUCUCAUUUAAAUCGAAACAUUUGCAUGUCUUGUCCUUGUUUCAAGUGAUGUUUGUCUACAAUAACUAAUAUCAUAUUGUCACAUAUAUACGAUACUGUGAACAUUGACACUAGAUCAAGCUGUAUAACAUAUGGUUGUAGAGAAGUAAUCCAUGUGGUGUAAUGUAUUCCAGCAUUUGUAACAUAAAACAGGUGAAUACAUAUUGUAUCCUGUGUCUGAU